GUCACGGUGGGGCUGUUUGCCCGCCGUCGUCCCGAGACCGUGCUGCUGGCCACCAUGGACGGCGUGCAGGUGCUGGGCCAGCCCGCGGCC
This 90-nucleotide transfer RNA is filed under the name Lautropia mirabilis. RNAcentral describes it as "tRNA-Gly(ccc)". The record is from RNAcentral. Lineage: Bacteria; Pseudomonadati; Pseudomonadota; Betaproteobacteria; Burkholderiales; Burkholderiaceae.